GUCUUUCAAGUAGAGUUGGUUUAGCUUGGAGUCAUACUCCACUCAAGACUGGAGAUCGCCGGUUCGAAUCCGGCAAAACACA
This 82-nucleotide transfer RNA is filed under the name Blumeria hordei DH14. RNAcentral's name for it is "Blumeria graminis f. sp. hordei DH14 tRNA-OTHER". The record is from RNAcentral. Lineage: Eukaryota; Fungi; Ascomycota; Leotiomycetes; Helotiales; Erysiphaceae.